UAAUGUUGCGAAAGAUGCACAAAUGUAUCAUUUCGUCUUCUGUUGGAUAGAACAAAAGAGAUCGAGAAGUUUAAAGUUUAAAGUUAAAGUUAGUUGUGGAGCUGCAUAGGCAUAUGAAUAAGUUACUGCACGGGUAAUUUGGUUUCUUCUGUGAACUUGAAUACCAUAAGUUUUGGAAAAGUAAAUAUUAAUCAUCUUUGAAUUUGCAAGCCUCAAAAUUAGGGGAAAAGAUCCUAGAUCGAUCUGACCUCCUUGGUGAGGAGGGGAAGAUGGAGGAGGCUCUCGUUCUCGGCACUCGGAUCUCGAUAGGAUCGGCAUCAGCUCCAAUCAUCUGCAAAACACAAAAUAAAGAUCAAGCCUUGGCAACAGAACCACGGGAAACCUGAAAUUCUGUACUGAACAAGAAGAGAUAAGUUGGGGAGAAAUUUAGGUCGCCUGAUUGAUGAGCUCCUGCAUAUGCAUACUGAAUGUUGAGCUUUAUUUCACCGACACUUGGUUCUGAACAUGUGUGCUUUUAAGAAAGUUUGUAUUCUUCUCUAUUUUGAACAGCCCACAAAGAGACUAAAAAAUGGUGAUAUGUUCCUUUCCGUGGUUUAAGAACUCUGGGACUAGGCCCAACUAACAAAUAGCUUCCUCGUCUUAAAAUACAUCUGUGUUCAGCUGUUUUCAGGAGAAAUGUUCGAUCAUUUUCAGAUGAUCAUCAUAUGGUCAGCGAGAUUCAAGGGAACACGCGACCCGAUUAUGCCUUCUAUAAGCAAAGCUGAGUUGUUGAGGUAAUUGUUCUUUAGGUGCCUUCUAUAAACACGCGACACAUAUGUAUGUUCUUUUCAUAUGGUGCCUUAUAUAAGUACAUUUUAGUAAUAUGUGUCUUGUUUUACUUUUGUCCUUGGUGACUGUGGCAGUAUGCUUGGCUUUGGUUAUUAUGUUUGAGUGUAAAAUUGCUUGUUGAAAUGAUGAAUGUGCUAAUUCAUCACUAGUCUCAUUCCUUCUUGCAAAUAGUUUCUCUACCUUUUUUCAGUUACAAGUGUCCUUUGGUUAAUGGAUGAUUCUCUUUCGCUCGCGGUAGCUUGCUCGAGGCAGACCUGCAAGCCCGAUGGAAAACUAACCGCGUACACCGUGUCGUGGCUUCGAGUUUCAGCGUCGACAUCACCUUUCUCUAACUGGCUUGCUUAGCCAUGGACAGUGAGACCACCCUUCAUUGAUUUCUUGAUCUAUAUCUUUAUUCUAGGCAUUAUGUCUGUGUUGGCUGUACAAUUGUUCAAACUCUAGCCUAGCUAUAGGUUUGUUUGAGGGGGAUUGAGUAGGAGUGUCUCUUUUCUAUAUCUAAAAUGGAUUUAACAUCCAACUUUAGUCAAGAACAAACCAUCAGUAAGGAAGUGUAACCUGGGAGAGGUGUGCAGAAAUCCUUGAGAAAAGAGAUAAUCACUAUGAAUGCUACUUUCCAGUGAUUUCUGGUGAUCCAUUAAUUUUUAUGAGUGAACUCGGAAGUUUUAUGCAUAUUAGAAAGUUGCAUUUCUGAUCCACAUGCUUGCUAAAUGCGUAUUUUUUCUUCCAUUUUUUGCUAGAAAGUAGGGAGCCUAGCACGAUUUACAUAUAUUUUACAUGAACUUCAUGCAACCACCUGCUAUGAAUAUGAGAUGUCACAACAUAGUUACUUUAGUGAGAAGUUACUGAACAUACUUUCUAUAUCUCUGGAUUUGGUUGAAGUGUUUCUUCCGUUAUCCACUCUCUCACUGGGCUUGUUUCUCUCUGCUUCCAUUUUAGUACUUGAGUAACACAUGAGACUGAAUAUUGUACCAUGUUAACUCUUGGAUCCACUCACAACCAGAAGGUGCAGCAAUCUAGAGCAGAAUAAACUCAGUUAAAUCAGCUUAUCUAACAAAGCCCUAUAACAGAACAAAUUAUGCAGAGUCUUGAAAGGAGACAUUCGUGAUGAUUUCUCAGUGAGGCGAUGCACUUGGUGACAAACCGAAUUUACGGGGAGGAGCAGGCGGCGGGGCCAGAGAGAUACUUAC
This 2015-nucleotide long non-coding RNA is filed under the name Triticum aestivum (bread wheat). RNAcentral describes it as "long non-coding RNA (TAES_LNC016176)". The record is from RNAcentral. Lineage: Eukaryota; Viridiplantae; Streptophyta; Magnoliopsida; Poales; Poaceae.